This 395-nucleotide ribosomal RNA is filed under the name uncultured bacterium. RNAcentral describes it as "partial 16S ribosomal RNA". It matches the Rfam family "Bacterial small subunit ribosomal RNA", at positions 362 to 773 of the family's 1533-position model. The record is from RNAcentral.
UAUUGCACAAUGGGCGCAAGCCUGAUGCAGCGACGCCGCGUGGAGGAUGAAGGCUUUCGGGUCGUAAACUCCUGUCUGGGGGGAGGAAAACUGACAGUACCCCCGGAGGAAGCCCCGGCUAACUACGUGCCAGCAGCCGCGGUAUCACGUAGGGGGCGAGCGUUGUCCGGAAUGACGGGGCGUAAAGGGCGUGUAGGCGGCGGAUUAAGGCUGGAGUGAAAGUCCUGCUUUCAAGGUGGGAAUUGCUUCGGAUACUGGUUGGCUUGAGUGCGGAAGAGGUAAGUGGAAUUCCCAGUGUAGCGGUGAAAUGCGUAGAGAUUGGGAGGAACACCAGUGGCGAAGGCGACUUACUGGGCCGUAACUGACGCUGAGGCGCGAAAGCGUGGGGAGCGAAC